GAUGAACGCUGGCGGCGUGCCUAAUACAUGCAAGUCGAGCGAACGGACGAGAAGCUUGCUUUUCUGAUGUUAGCGGCGGACGGGUGAGUAACACGUGGAUAACCUACCUAUAAGACUGGGAUAACUUCGGGAAACCGGAGCUAAUACCGGAUAAUAUUUUGAACCGCAUGGUUCAAAAGUGAAAGACGGUCUUGCUGUCACUUAUAGAUGGAUCCGCGCUGCAUUAGCUAGUUGGUAAGGUAACGGCUUACCAAGGCAACGAUGCAUAGCCGACCUGAGAGGGUGAUCGGCCACACUGGAACUGAGACACGGUCCAGACUCCUACGGGAGGCAGCAGUAGGGAAUCUUCCGCAAUGGGCGAAAGCCUGACGGAGCAACGCCGCGUGAGUGAUGAAGGUCUUCGGAUCGUAAAACUCUGUUAUUAGGGAAGAACAUAUGUGUAAGUAACUGUGCACAUCUUGACGGUACCUAAUCAGAAAGCCACGGCUAACUACGUGCCAGCAGCCGCGGUAAUACGUAGGUGGCAAGCGUUAUCCGGAAUUAUUGGGCGUAAAGCGCGCGUAGGCGGUUUUCUAAGUCUGAUGUGAAAGCCCACGGCUCAACCGUGGAGGGUCAUUGGAAACUGGAAAACUUGAGUGCAGAAGAGGAAAGUGGAAUUCCAUGUGUAGCGGUGAAAUGCGCAGAGAUAUGGAGGAACACCAGUGGCGAAGGCGACUUUCUGGUCUGUAACUGACGCUGAUGUGCGAAAGCGUGGGGAUCAAACAGGAUUAGAUACCCUGGUAGUCCACGCCGUAAACGAUGAGUGCUAAGUGUUAGGGGGUUUCCGCCCCUUAGUGCUGCAGCUAACGCAUUAAGCACUCCGCCUGGGGAGUACGACCGCAAGGUUGAAACUCAAAGGAAUUGACGGGGACCCGCACAAGCGGUGGAGCAUGUGGUUUAAUUCGAAGCAACGCGAAGAACCUUACCAAAUCUUGACAUCCUUUGACAACUCUAGAGAUAGAGCCUUCCCCUUCGGGGGACAAAGUGGCAGGUGGUGCAUGGUUGUCGUCAGCUCGUGUCGUGAGAUGUUGGGUUAAGUCCCGCAACGAGCGCAACCCUUAAGCUUAGUUGCCAUCAUUAAGUUGGGCACUCUAAGUUGACUGCCGGUGACAAACCGGAGGAAGGUGGGGAUGACGUCAAAUCAUCAUGCCCCUUAUGAUUUGGGCUACACACGUGCUACAAUGGACAAUACAAAGGGCAGCGAAACCGCGAGGUCAAGCAAAUCCCAUAAAGUUGUUCUCAGUUCGGAUUGUAGUCUGCAACUCGACUACAUGAAGCUGGAAUCGCUAGUAAUCGUAGAUCAGCAUGCUACGGUGAAUACGUUCCCGGGUCU
This 1372-nucleotide ribosomal RNA is filed under the name uncultured bacterium. Its description in RNAcentral is "bacterial SSU rRNA". It matches the Rfam family "Bacterial small subunit ribosomal RNA", at positions 28 to 1381 of the family's 1533-position model. The record is from RNAcentral.